GACGAACGCUGGCGGCGCGCCUAACACAUGCAAGUCGAACGGAGCUGAGAGAAGCUUGCUUUUCUUAGCUUAGUGGCGAACGGGUGAGUAACGCGUGAGUAACCUGCCCUGGAGUGGGGGACAACAGUUGGAAACGACUGCUAAUACCGCAUAAGCCCACGAUCCGGCAUCGGCUUGAGGGAAAAGGAUUUAUUCGCUUCAGGAUGGACUCGCGUCCAAUUAGCUAGUUGGUGAGGUAACGGCCCACCAAGGCGACGAUUGGUAGCCGGACUGAGAGGUUGAACGGCCACAUUGGGACGGAGACACGGCCCAGACUCCUACGGGAGGCAGCAGUGGGGGAUAUUGCACAAUGGGGGAAACCCUGAUGCAGCGACGCCGCGUGGAGGAAGAAGGUAUUCGGAUUGUAAACUCCUGUCGUUAGGGACGAUAAUGACGGUACCUAACAAGAAAGCACCGGCUAACUACGUG
Molecule: ribosomal RNA, 468 nt
Filed under: uncultured bacterium
Lineage: Bacteria
Description: partial 16S ribosomal RNA
Rfam family: Bacterial small subunit ribosomal RNA
Source: RNAcentral